Molecule: ribosomal RNA, 373 nt
Filed under: uncultured organism
Description: partial 16S ribosomal RNA
Rfam family: Bacterial small subunit ribosomal RNA
Source: RNAcentral
GUAGGUGGCAAGCGUUGUCCGGAAUUAUUGGGCGUAAAGCGCGCGCAGGCGGUUCUUUAAGUCUGAUGUGAAAGCCCACGGCUCAACCGCGGAGGGUCAUUGGAAACUGGAGAACUUGAGUACAGAAGAGGAAAGCGGAAUUCCACGUGUAGCGGUGAAAUGCGUAGAGAUGUGGAGGAACACCAGUGGCGAAGGCGGCUUUCUGGUCUGUAACUGACGCUGAGGCGCGAAAGCGUGGGGAGCAAACAGGGAUUAGAUACCCUGGUAGUCCACGCCGUAAACGAUGAGUGCUAAGUGUAAGGGGGUUUCCGCCCCCUUAGUGCUGCAGCUAACGCAUUAAGCACUCCGCCUGGGGAGUACGGCCGCAAGGCUG